CGCGUAAGUAAUCUGCCUAUCAGAGGGGAAUAACAGUGAGAAAUCAUUGCUAAUACCGCAUAUACUAAUUUUAUUGCAUGAUAGAAUUGGGAAAGGAGCAAUCCGCUGACAGAUGGGCUUGCGUCUGAUUAGUUAGUUGGCAGGGUAAAGGCCUACCAAGACGAUGAUCGGUAGCCGGACUGAGAGGUUGAACGGCCACAUUGGGACUGAGAUACGGCCCAGACUCCUACGGAAGGCAGCAG
RNAcentral lists this ribosomal RNA (242 nucleotides) under uncultured bacterium. Its description in RNAcentral is "partial 16S ribosomal RNA". It matches the Rfam family "Bacterial small subunit ribosomal RNA", at positions 114 to 354 of the family's 1533-position model. The record is from RNAcentral.